AAGACAAGACAGGACGGGGCAGGACAGGACAGGACGCGGCGAGGGGAGGUGGCAGCCCGCAGCCGUGCUGGCUGGCUGGGUGGGUGCGGUCCGUCCGCCUCCCUCCCUCCUCCCAUCCGCGCUCUGACUCCAGGGAGCCACUGGAGCAGAAGCUUGGUUUGGGGGUGGUUUCGUGUCUAUCCAAGCAACAAGGCCCAGGUUGUUACUAGAGCGCCUGUCGCCGGCAAUGGUUGUUAAAAUUGUGGGUUGCGGCUAAAGAUACAUAGAUGCUAUCCCCGUCCAUGUCGAGCUGAAUAGCCAAAGCAAAAUGUCACUGGAGGUAUGGGUGUAAGCUCUGCUGCAGCAACCCCACCCUUUUUUUUGUGGAGUUUGUAUCUAAAGUGGGGUAGGUGGGUCAUUUGAGCUGUUUUUACUGUUAAAAGUUUUGCCAGUGGACAAAAAAUUAUUAUAAAGAGAAAUGGGUUGUAUUCAAUGCUUGUGGCCUUCUAUGUAUAUGUACUUUAUGUGGGUGAGUGCAAAGCUCAAGUUGAUUUUAAACAACAACUAUGGCCUAAAUUAAUAAAGCAGCCCAGAUGUUACACCCAUUAUUUGUGUAAUGCACACCAACUAACUGCAGCUCAAAGUUAACCUGUAGUGGAGCAGAACGUGGCAGGCUGGACUCUGUGCUUGGCAUAGUUUUCACUCCCUUAGUUCACACACGAUGUUUAAAGUGAAGAAAUUUAAGAAAUAAAGUUACUAAAAUAUACUGGGUUUGGGUUUAUUUACUCCUGAAUAUAACUUUUUUACAUCUGCAAGUUUAAUAUGAAGAUCUCUUUCUGUCCCUGAAAGGAAUAUAUACAUAUUUAUACAUGCACUCUUGCUUACUAUUGCAGUACAGUUUUAGAACAAUACUGGAUAUUACAGUUACUCUUUGCAGCUUGGUCUUCCUUUUGUUAAAGGUUUAUAAAGGUUUUUUAAACCCUUUUUUAAUUAAAGAUUUAUAGAACCUUUAUAUUGCAUCUACAUAGGAUGAUCCCCUUAUACUUUACAAGGAUUGAGGAAAAAGUCCUGGAUUGCCUUAUAUGGCCAUUUUUACUCUGAUCUAUGUCUUGUAAUUACAGCAUAUGCUCCAGGUCACAGCACUGGGUGCAAAGACAGAAGUCUACUGUUUGCAACCUCAGCUUUCCAUAAAAGUGGCCAAAUGCUCUUCCCAGUGCCCCUCUUGCAGUUUUAGGGAGAUUUUAAGAGUCUUUCCCCCUUUGCUCUUAACAUUGCAGACAAAUUUAGUGCUGAUAUUGGUGUUUAUUUUUCUAAGUAAACAGAGCAUAAUAUUGGGAGUUUCUUGCUUAGUUGGAAAUCCAUCCUUCUUAGUUACUUUUUUUGUUGGUAGAGUCCUCAUGAUUUCUCUCUGUCUGUCUAUCUCUUCUCCCCUUUCUAUCCCCCAAUUACAUUCAGUACAAUUCCAGUAUAGGAGUUCUUCAAAACUGUUCCCUUCAGAAGAGAUUUGAAUGCAACUCAUCCAGCCUUGCUGUUGCACAAGACUGUGAGUUAACUGUGUAUUUAAGUGGGUCUUGGAUUUGGUUUUUUAGAAAGAAAUAAUUAAAAAAAAAUAAAAAUCAAAGUUUUGUUGGGAGGUGGGACAAAUGCAUAGUUUGUUAACAUUUUAAUUACAAGAAGGUAAUUGAGUUAAUUGUUACUCAUAAAUGUGUAGUUAAAAGCAAAUCUUCUAGAAGAAAAAAUAAUUGAUUUUUAAUUCCUAUAAGCAAUAUUAUUUCCAAACAGUAUUAUAAGUGUUAGGUUUGGAUGUCUUUUUUUACCUUGAGGACAUGAACUUUUUGAAUUUGGAUUUAUCAGUGGAAACAAGUUGGAACUAUGCAGGAGAGGAGAAUGAGUCUUACUCUGAAAAAUACCUCCUUGGUACUGAUGAGGUUAUAGCUGGAUUUAGGUUUGAAGUCUUGUUCUAAAUUUUGUAUCCUUGAGGGUUUUUUCUUAGAUAUUUGCUGAAGGACUAGUUACUGUUUGGUUUUUUGUUUUUUUGUUUUCUUUCUGGAGCAGUUAAGUGGAUUUUCAAGUUGUCUUGGAAAAAAACCCACAAUAACUCAUCAGAAGAUGUUUCACAUUUUUCAGUAUCGGCCUUUAAGAGUAAUAACCCAAAACAGUCUUUCUAGCAUGUGCUUAAAACUGAUGCUUUCAAGACCUGUUGCAUUUGCACAGAUAUGGAAGUCAUGGUUCUCAAGUCAUUCUCUUCUUGGAAAGAAAAAUAUUAUCCUGAUGGGACCUCCAGGUGCUGGGAAAACAACAACUGGGAGAAUAGUAGGCCAGAAACUGGAUUGCCCUGUCAUAGACAUAGAUGACGAUGUCCUUGAAACAACCUGGAAUACGAGUGUGUCAGAAAAACUGCAGGACAUUGGUUGUGAGAAGUUUCUAGAGGAGGAAGGAAAAGCACUGUUGAAGUUCUCGGCAUCUGGAAGUGUAAUUUCCCUUAGUGGGUCCAAUCCAAUGCAUGCUGCUGGCAUGCAGCACAUAAAGAAAAAUGGAAUAGUUGUAUAUUUGGAUGUGCCCACAACAGUCAUUAUGAGCAGGCUGAAAUCAAAGGGAAUGGAUCGUGUCGUGGGCCUGUCUCCUGGUGUUUCUCUCAAAGACAUACUUCAGUUUAGGAAGCAGUUCUACAAAAGGUGGUUUGACAUCCGUGUUCUUUGUGGAGGGGAUGUUGCAGCAGAGGUGGUAGCAGAAAAGGUACUUGAUGCUGUGAAGAGAUACCAAGACUCAGAACUGGAAAGUUUCAUUUCAACAAGGUCUAGUAGGUCUGGAAGGAGUACGGAAGAAGACACUCAUAAAUUUUAUUUCAGUGAUGUUGUUACUCAGGGCUUAGCCCUUGAUGGAGGACUCUUUGUUCCUGAGAGAGGACUUCCAAAAUUCACUGCUGAAGAAUGGCAAGGUCUGAUAGAAGCAACUUACAUUGAAAGAGCCCAGGUGAUACUAGAAAGAUGCAUACAUCCAGCUGAUAUUCCUGCUUCUAAGCUGGCAGAAAUUAUUGAAACUGCUUAUGGAGAAAACUUUAGUUGUUCUAAAGUUGCCCCACUUAGGCAUCUGGCAGGCAAUCAGUUCCUUCUUGAGUUAUUUCAUGGACCAACAGCAUCAUUUAAAGAUUUUGCAUUACAGUUGAUGCCACAUUUAUUUGCCUACUGCAUACCCAGAAGCUGCAAUUACUUGAUCCUGGUAGCUACUUCUGGGGACACAGGGAGUGCUGUUCUAGAUGGCUUUAGUCGUCUCCAUGACACUGACAAACAGAGAAUUGCUCUGGUGAAUUUUUUUCCUGAGGAUGGAGUAAGCCCAAUUCAAAAAUCACAAAUGAUUGGCUGUCAGAAGGAAAAUGCUUGGUCAGUGGGUGUCAAAUCUGAUUUUGAUUUUUGCCAGACAGCUAUAAAGCAAAUCUUUACUAAUUCUGAUUUUACUGGCUUUCUUACAGUAGAAUAUGGAACAGCUUUAGCUGCAGCAAACUCCAUAAACUGGGCACGACUGCUUCCUCAGAUAGUUUAUCAUGCCUCUGCAUACCUUGAUCUUGUUCAUCAAGGUAUUAUUUCUUUUGGAAGCCCUGUAGAUAUUUGCAUUCCUACAGGAAACUUUGGCAACAUAUUAGCUGCUUUCUAUGCUAAAAUGAUGGGAAUUCCUAUUAGAAAAUGUAUUUGUGCUUCCAAUGAAAACAAUGUUUUGACUGACUUCAUAAGAACAGGUGCUUAUGAUUUGAGGGGAAGAAAAUUAAUUUCCAGUUUUUCACCAGCAGUAGAUAUUUUGAAGUCCUCCAAUCUUGAGCGAUACUUACACCUGAUUGCCAAUGGAGAUGGACAAUUGGUGACACAGUUAUUUAACCACCUGGAAAAUCAGGGCCACUUCCAGCUGCGGAAAGAUCUACUUGGAAAGCUUCAGCAGGACUUAGUGGCUGGCUGGUGCUCUGAUGAGGACUGUCUGGCUGCCAUUCACUCUGUGUACAGUACUACAGGAUAUAUUUUGGAUACACACACAGCUGUUGCUAAAGUAGUUGCAGAUCGAUUACAAGAUAGAACUUGCCCAAUUAUUAUUUCAUCUACAGCUCAUUAUUCUAAGUUUGCACCUGCUAUCUUGAAGGCCUUGAGGAUUUCAGAAAUAAAUCAGAAUCCAUUAAGUCAGCUUCACUUGCUGAGUUCUUACAGCGCUUUGCCUCCAAUCCACUGGGGCCUAUUAGAGACCCUGAAAAAGACUGGAAAUGGGGAUCACCAGGUCUGUGCUGCUGAUAUGAGUGUGCUGAUGUCCCAUAUAGAAACCUUAAUUCAAAAUCAUUUUAUGAAAGUUUUUUGAGCAACUGAUCCAAUGUCCACAAUUGCAAUGACUUCUUAACAAGCUGCAUGCUUUACUAAAGCCAUCAUUCAUCUGGCCUGUGUCCAGUCCACAGCGUAUCUCACAGUUUUAUAUUCAGUUGUCAAGCUUUCAACAGUAUUUGUAAGUAACAUGUGUGAGAUUUCUAGUGGUGGUGAAAGGUUGUGAAUUAAGAGUGUAAAAAACUGGAAUACCGUUUUGCAAGUCGUACACAGUGGAGAUGCCAGCACUGCUGGCUUUCCCUGGCAGUACUGUCUCCUUCACAAACCUAAAGCAUCCUCGACAGGAGGAGGCAGAUAAUGAAGUCUGACCUUUCUGCAACUAAUAACUCUUGUUUUGUUGCAACAAUGAUGUGAACCUUUGGUCAGUGUAUGUUUAAUUAAACUUUAAAUCAUUUCACUUAGGGCACUGAAACAUAAUAAGUUAAUGGUAUUCAUAUGUUACUAAUGUGGGUUGACUUCACUACAAAGAUUAAAGUAGCAUUGUAUUGUUAAUCCUUGAACCAUUGAUUUUUGUGAUAUAUUACCUUCUUGUGUAAUGUUUUUUAUCUAUUGUGUGGCCAGUGUCUAAGUAAAAAAAUCUGGUCAUUUUGUUUUUAACACCUUUUUCUCCCAAAUAUUUUCCUGUGUCAAAUAGAAUACCUAAUUCAAUAUUUUUAAUAUAUUUGAGGUGUGACUCUUCUUCCAGUGUCUUCUAGUCUCUUUCUCAGAUGUUUUUUAUUUCAACUUUCAACUUUGAAAUCCUUUUUUAAUACUAUAGAAGAAUCUGAUAGUGGUAACAUCUUCUUAAAUAAGAACCAAACUUCACAAUUUAUUUACAUAUAUUUUUUUGUAUUUUAUCUUUGAGAUCAUAUAGCUUUUCUUGUUCUAAUUACUUGUGUUUUCAUAUUUUUCUUAAGUUAAUUUCCUUGAUGUUCUAUUCUAUUCAUGCUUUGCAUGAAUUAGUAUAAAAAGAAGCUUCCCAAAUUGCUUGGCAUCUCAUCAAGGAAAGUGAAGGAUGAAUUCCAGAGUGAUAGCAUCAGAAGUGUUCAUUAUGUAAUCCAAAAUACAUCUGUGUGGUUUUGCUAAUGACAGGCUCUUUGCUGGUUUUUUUCUGAAGAAAAAAAUAGACUGGAUUGUCCUAGGAGAUCAUGUGGUUAUGGAGAAAUUGUUCUGCUAAUUGAUGAUUAUGUUUCACAAGGACAUAAGCUACAUUUCAUACUAUGAGAAACGGUAAAAUGAUGUAUUGAAAGCUUUGAGUGGCAUGCAGUUAAAGAGCUAGGAGUCUUCAGAUGUAAGGACAUAUAGCUAUGGGAAGUUGUGUUUCCCAUUAAGAUUCAAAUAAUCUGGUAACUGAUAACAGGUUUUUUUGCCUCUUCAAUAGGCAUAAUUUCCUACAUGACAAGAUUCACCUGGGGCUUUGAACUGCUGCCAUAUCCUUCAGCUUCCUCUGUGUGCCUGCUUGUACUUUUUGUCACACUAGAAGGGAAUCAUCUCACAAAUUAUAUUAAAGAAUUGUAAUUUUUUCCAGCAUAAGGUAAAAGUCCCAAGCAUGAUGUGUGUUUGCCACAGUGAACACAUAUGCAGUAUCAUUAAAUGUAGCUGAGAUCAUGGGUGUGACACAGUAGCUUUCUGGAUUCCCCCAUUCCUAGAUACUUUUUUGGACCUUCCUAGUUCUUUGCUCAAACCUCAUUCACUGUUUCUGCAGUAAAAUUGAAAAAUAACUUUUUGUUUUCAUGAAAUUGUGAACAGACCAGGUUGGAAGUGACCCAAAAACUUUCGUGACAAAGGGAGCCUAGAUGAGAUUAUCUAGCACCCUCUCCAGUUACGUAUUAAAAACUUCCCAGUGAUGGAGACUCUUUUGCUUCCCUGGGAAUAUUGUUCCAGUGAUUGAGCGUUCUCACUGUAAAAAUUUCUUUCUUAUACCAAAAUGAACCUUCUCCUGGUACAACUUCCCCCUUGUCAUCUCCAUAUGGCUCCUUGUGAAGAGGGAGCCUCCAAUCUCUUCCUAACCACCACUGAAGUGUUGGACAACUGUGCUGAAGUGCCCACUGAACCUCCUGUAGUAUGAAAAGAUCUAACUCAUUCAGUGUUCUCAUAGGGCAGGGGAAUUUUCACCAUUUUCCUAACACAACAUGGGAAAGACUGUGAUUAUGUAAUUUUAAAAACAUCCAAGUCCUGUAAGAAAAGAUUACAUAAGCAUAUUGCUAAGGAAGCAGCAUUGCUUGUAUUAGUGAUAAGUGAGCAUCCACCUUGUAUUUCUGUAUGCUUCAGUCUGAUUCUUACUGUAAUUCCAAGGGGGAAAAAAAGCUAAUGCUUUCUCUGGCUAUGCUUAGUAUAAAACCAGAAUUCUAAAUCUUGAAAAAAAAAAAACCAAAACCAAGCAAACCCAACUGUCUGGAUUGAAUUACUGGGAUAGGGUAUGGUUUCAGCAUAAGGACUCAGUGGAAAUCCUGCAGCACUUGGUUCCAUGGGGUUUAAUGCCAUUUGACAUCACAAGGCAGUUUGUCACACACUGUUACAAUACUUUAUAGAAAAAGCUUGUUUUUGUAGAAAGUACCUGAAAGGGAAGAGCUGAGAUUAGAUUAGCUGAGAUAAGAUUAGACUAGAAGCCAACAUCUUACCCUGAGAUAACUCAGUGUUAGAUAAACUGGUCAGAGCUAAACUAGCAGGGGAUUUAUUUUGGCACAACUGAAUUAUUUUAAAGUUCAUGGCAGUAACCCAUGCAUGGUUUAGAUUUCUAGUUGCUGCUUUCCUAUUACAUGAGCCAUUAUAGCAGUUGAUAUGAACCAAAUAAGUAAAAAAAAUGAGCAUUUGUACUUGGGUAAGGGGUUUCAACGUGGAUUUAUGGUGUCUAAGGGCAGUGCUUAAUGAGCACAUACAAUAUUAAUACAUUUCUCAGAAUGUCUAAAGGCUUUUCAAUAUAGUAUUUACUAAUUUUCAAAAAGAAUUAAUUUUUUAACUUUCAUUAACUUCAGUAAACUUAUUUUCCUGCACUACAUCUGCUUGUGGAUCCUACUAAUGAACACUAUAAAAUGCUGCAGUAGUGUUGUGAUCCUGGAUAUACACAGUAUUUGUGACCAAAUGAAAAAAAUUUCCAGCAUGCUCAGAAUAUGGGACUGUGGGUAAACAGGAUAGUGAGGGAAGCAAUCCCCCUUUCUUCCCAGUCCAGAUUUUCUUAGUGUCAGCGAUGUACUGUGGUUCAACAAAUACUUUACUACUGUUAGAGUCCUUUUUUUCCCCACUAUCAGUAUUAUGAAAGAUUAAGAAGGCAUUAAAGACUGGGCAUAAGUCCCUUUCUUUUUGGUCUUGUGUGUUCAGCAUGCAGACACUGUGCACACUGAAUGUAAAUACAUUAUUUUCUAUUCACUUCUUAAGGCAAAGUGGUGUGCCAGUGGUACAGAAAAACAAAUCUAUAUUGUGCUGCUUAGGAGGAUGCUUUAAGCCAUUUAGGUUUGCUGCAUACACAGUUUACUCCUAUUUGUCUAGCAGUAUGUUGCAGUAUCAAUCAAGAAAAACCAAGUUGACAGAGUGUGAGUGUGCAGAUCUACACAUUUCCACUCACUUUGUUGACCCAUAGUAAUAGUGUUGCUUUAGUUAAGCUGUUGUUCUUCUGUAUAGAUAAACCUUUGCUGAACACUUCCUACUACAUGAAAAACCUCAGGGACAACUUUAACAAAUAUAUACCAGGUGCUCAUUACUUGCCUUUAGACACAGCCCUUCUUCUCAGAGUGACAGAGAGUGACAUGAGGUCAAUGAUGAAUAGAACAUCAGAAGAUAAUUCUGUUUCCUUAGGAUUUUAUGAUAUAAAAAGAAUUGCUAUUUACAGUUUUGAGGUGAUGGAAUAUUUUAUCUGAUGGAACUCUACAGGGAAGAUUCUUGUUGUUCAAAAGACCAGCUUUGCUUUCAAAGACAUCAAGAACAGACAUUGCUAUUAAGUAUAUCAUGUUUGGCAUACCUGAAAUACACAUUACUCAUUUGUAUCCACUGUAUUUUUUUCUAAAUAAACACUGCAGGAUAUAUAUAGCACUAUAGCACUUUCUUUGCAAAUAUGUUUGUAAAUCCUUACCAAUCUUCUAUAAAGAAAAUACACUAAAAGAAGUGGUUUCUGAGUUGGAUAUUCUUAAGUCUUGAAAGAUGUGUUCCAUCCUGUGUUUCUUUGAAAGUUAGGGGUAUAGUUGGUGAUAAUCUAAUAGUUCACUUUGCUGAGACUAUGAUUUUAGUGAGAUAGUCUGCAUCAUUCUGAAAGGAAGUAUGUAUAUAAAAAAGGAAACAGAUGAAAAAUAGCAAAUGUCUAAACACUCUGUUUACAUUGUACCACAGGCUUGUCCAGUGCUGCAUGGAAAGCCUGUAUUGUGAGGAUUAGUAUGGAAAAGGAAAUGUGUGACAGUUUAACAUUUCUUAUUCAUGCUUAGUUCAGUGUAGAGAUGGGCUAGAUGUCUCUUAGCUGUUGUGGAGCAACUUUUGUACACUUCUAAUAUAAUUUCAGGAUCAUGGGCUUAAAAAUUGCUUGAAUGGUUGAAACAGCGAUGAGCAGUUAAUGUCAGUGAAUUAAUGUGAAUGGGCCAUUGAUUCUGAACAUGUAUUAGCAGCUUAAGGAGGAUUUAAAUGUCACUGUGUUUUUUCACAGCAGUUACAAAUGUGCUUAGCUUGCUUAUCUGACCUGGGAAGCUGUUGCUUCAGAUUUUUCAGAUUGUAGCAAUCUAAAAGACAACUGUCUUGGUCUUGCUCUCCAACUUGGCUAAAACUUCCGAUCUCUUAGACUGGACCAAGUUCUAAGCUGUUUGUUCAUUUUACUUGAGAAGAUUUUAUUUGCUGUCUGAUCUCCUUCUUGACACUAUUGGAAAAUUAUUCAGUAGAAUUAAGAUAGCACCUGAUUUACUUGUUUGUGUAUGAUACUAUAAAAUUUAACCAAGGGGAGCAUCCACAGUGUUUUCCCUGCACAACAGAGGAACAUAUUUUUCAUAAAAAGUGUAUAUCCACAAAAAAAUAUAUUCCACAAAAUCAGUUACAUAGCACAGGAAUUGUUACUCUAGCAUUUUAUUUAGGUAUUUUGUCACUGGUAUUUGGAAUAGACUUAGAUUUUCAAAUAGUUUCUUUUAUUUUAAAGAACUAUUGUUAUAGAAACAUGGACAGUAUCACCCCUAGAUUUAAAAUUCUUCAUGACAAUAAUUGUGUCAAAACUGUGGGAGGACUGAACAGAUUUUUUAUGUGGGUUCACACAGGAUUUGGCUCUUAACCAUGAGUUUAUUAAGAACAUAGGAGGAAAUAAAGUAAUGACUGUUCAAAUCUACAGAUGCUACAAAACUUAAAUACUAAUGAGCCACUUAAUCAGAGCAAGAUUAAUUGCUUAGUUAGGAGCUGUAAGCAAUUUGCAUUUCACACUGGCCUAGUGUAGUAGGCCUGUGUUUUUAGGAGCACAGUGUGAGAACACACACUUAGCAAGGUAAACAAUUUGUGGUAGGAAAUGCUGACUUUGAAUGGUGUCUGGAGAUGAUGUGCAUUCUCAACCAAGCAUGAAUUUUCAGCUUGCCUUGUGGCCAAAAGGACCAGUGAGAUCCAGAGGUUAGAAAUGGGAAUACUGCCAGGGAAGAAAUACUGCUGUCUGUAUUUGGCUUUGGCAUAACCUUUUGGAAGAAUAUUAUGCCGAAUUUCAGCAGUCACAAUUUUCAGUAAUGCUGGGAAGCUGGACAGAAAAGAGUCAUGAGAGCAAUAAAAGCAUUAAAAAGAAGUACUGGCAUGAGAGUCUCAAAAAACAGAAUCUGCUUAGUUUAGUGAAAGAAGAAUCAGCCUAGACAAACCAUCUUCAGAGAAAUAUUGAUAAUAAAGAACUGUUCCACCUAGCAGAGAAAGAGUGACCCAGCAAGUCUAAGCAGAAGUCAGACAUGUUACAAAAAGCAAUAAAGGUAUGUAACAGAACAGUAAAAGCAUCCCUAGUCUGGACAUAUUAGAUGAUUUCAUGAAAAAAUGUGAUUUGAUAGAAAGAAGACUAAUUCAGACAAGUCAGACCCAUGUUACACAAGAGGUCAAACUAAACAAUCACAAGUCAUGUUUGGCUGCCCCAGGAGUAACUUGCCUUUAAUAAAAGCACGAACAGCUUUUCACAGAGGUUUGAGAGAUAGAGUUUAUGAACUAAUUUCACUUCUGCUGUGGUGUGAUGAGUACACAGAGCAAGUUCUGCACUAAAUAGGCUACUGGAUAUGUUUAGCCUUGUUCUUUCUGUCUCUAGAGAAUUGCAAAUGGACUACUAAUGCAUACCCUGACUUGACUCAUGGCUAUUAGGAUAUGGCUCAUUAGUUUUAAAUUUCAUUAUACAAUACGCCUUGUGAUGGUUUGGGCUAUAUAUACUUUCAUUAUGAAAAUUAGGAGAACAGCACAGGAGGAAAGUGUCUGUGUAAAUGUCAGCUUUAUUGAAUGUGGCUAAUUAUUAUUUAUUUUCCCAAGCUUUUAAAAGUGAGAAAUCUUUUAAAAUUUAUUAGAUGCUUUUGCACCCUUUUUUUCUCUGCUUUUACAAGCAACUUGCAAUCCAAUGGCCAUUUUCAGUUCAUUUACAGCUCAUAAUAAGACUUAUAUGACAAACGGAAAAGCCAAUGUCUCCUUUUUAUAGUUAAACUUCAACUUUUAUAUACCAAUUAAAGCUUAGAGAAGGUAAAAUGUACUCAUAGGUUCUGCUCUAGCAACUUAUUUUGAUUAAAAUGUAUUUUUCUUUAUAUUUUAAACUGAUUCACUAAAUUAUAUCUAAAUUGAGUAGGCAUUUUUUCUAAGUAUCUGUGGCAAUCUGAUUCUGUUUAAAAUGAUAAUGAAUGCAUCCCAUCUCCUAAAGAAACCAGUCCUCCCUGCAUAAUUAAUUAGCAUUUUAUACAGAUGAGGAUGGGAAAGCCAUAUUCACAGUAGUUUUCUACCACAAAGGUUAAUAAAAGAAUUCUAUGCAGUUCUGAAAUACCACAAGAACGGUUCAUUUCCACAAAACUGGUAUUUUGCAAAUAAAAAAUUUAGUGAAAUUUACCUGGAACCAUUGUUCCAUACAGCUUUUAUCCACAAGGUGGCAUUCCUAACAGGAGUUUGCUAGACAUGGUCACUUGCAGUUUUUGAAUGGCUCUAAGUGAGAGGGAGUCAUAAGCAUUUGUAAUAUUAUAUGAGCUUUUUAUGUUUUCAUUUUUAUAAAGUGUAAAGGUAAUUUAAGUCAGAAACCUUAAUCAUAAUUAGGUUAAUACUCACCGAUGUGUGGAGUAUCGAGAAAUAUGUAAUGGUUCUAGGUUACAAAACAACAUUCAUUCAUGGCAUUAUAUGCUGCUAGAGACUUUUCAAUUGUAAAGCUGGAAUCAGUUUUGCUUUAAUGAAAGAGUCUAAAAUAAUAAUUUAAAAAUUCUUUAAAUCAAGAGCACAAAAAAUACCACGGUCUUCUAUGCAAACCCCAGUGUUUGGUGUUUUGAACAUGAUGUGGCAUAUGGAGCUUGUAGUGAGUUCUGGAUUAAGGAAGGGCAAAUAACAGUGUUUGUGGGAAAAAGCUGUAUAAAUUAUGUCUUGCUCUGCAGGGGAGGAUUUUUCAUAGUCUUAUGUUACAAUGACCAAGCAACUUAUUUUCAUAUGCCUGUCAUCCAGGUUGAUAACUGAGUCUGCAGGCAACUCUGCUUUUUUUUCAGGCUUUAUAAUUUUUUCAUUUUCUUGGAGUCUUUGUAUGCUAAAUUCAAAUACCUUGUUACUCUUUUUCUUUAAAUACAAGCAUGAAGGGAGUAUAAUACAACCUGCUAAACUAGUACAAGUACACUAGAUUUUACACAACAGGGAUUUUCUCCCCCAUGGUUAAGGUCCUGAUCUUACUUUGCUUUUUUUUCUGAUUCUGUAAGAUCAGACCUUAGCUAAGUAAUCAUUUAUAUUUCCAUUCUAGCUGGUGUCCUACUUGUAUUUUGGUUUUCAAAAAAAAAAAAGAUAUAAAGUUUGUGCUGAAACUGUAAUCCAAUGUAAAUUAUGGAAUUUUUUCCAAGUCAGUUUCGAGUCAACAGAAAGGAAUAUGAGUUUUUUGGUUUAUUGUUUUGUGGUAGCAAAACUUCUGUGGAGUGUUUUCUAAUGCAUGUGUACAUUUCCUUCUAAUGCCUCUGCUCCAUGUGCCAACCCCCACUGAUGCCUCAGCCCUCUGGGUUCGGUUCCUAUCACGUAACACAGCUGAAAGGACAGAGCAGCGGCUGCGCCACAGCUGACACUAAUGACACUCUUUGCUGAGUUAGUGGGCACUGUUUUGACAUUAAGCAGAUGUUCUUUUCCCUAACAUUCUGUUGUACCUCCAUCAUCUCUCAAAGAUGGCUCUGCAAAACAGAAUACAAAUUACUGUUCACUGAAAGCAAUUGUCAGUCAGAAAAACUCACUUUCAGAAUGAUCAAGCUGUGGUAGAACCUACCUGCUGCUUGAAUCUAGCACAAGGACUUUAGAGGCCAACCUGGGUUCGUAGUAUCUCAUGCUGAGUACCGGUAAAAUUUGAGGGCCUGAACAUAUCCUACAUGCCACAAAUGGUAAAGAAAUGUGGUGAAAAUUGCUAUUUCCAAGAUGUAGAAAUGGGUGGACAAAGAAAGUUAUAUAUAGUAAUUAUGAAGUGUUAAUGAGGAAGUAAAUUAUUUGUUGUUGUUGCCUUUCAAGUUAAGCUACACACUGAAUUUUCUUUAUAGUAGUUAGGCAUAGCACUAGGUGAGUAAAUGAGGGCAACAUUCCUCUGAGAAGAGCAAGAAAUCUGUCCCACAGAGAAUGUUUGAAAACAGAAAAAACAAAUGUACAAAAAAAAAAUCAAAUGUAAAGAAACAUUCUGUGCUCUGAUGGCUACCAUGUGGAAAGGGCUUAUUGUGAAGGAUGGUCUGUAGAUAGAACUGUACACAGCUAUACAAAGGAAAAGGGUAGUCAAAGUAAUGACUGGGUUCAGGGCCCCAAAAGUGCUGUAAUGUGUAGGUGUGAUGGACAUCACCAGGAGAAAUCAGUAGUCUGGAGCAUUGCUGAUGUUGCUUCUAGGACAUCUCGUGAUGUCGGCUCAGAUGGAUAUAUACUCCAACUCCCAGAAACAGGGGAAAGAAAUUAUGCUGGAUUGUCCUUUUGUCUAAGGGUGUCUCAGUUAUAUAAGUUCACAUAACCCAGCACUUGCAGGUAACGCUGUCAGAGAAAAAACAACAGUACUGACUGCAGACAAAUAAUAGUCCUCAUACUUCAUGAUGGAUCUGCAAAUUGCUUUUCUAGUACAAAGCACGUCAGGGGCUAAUUUGAUGCAGUUUAUUGUUUGCAAGAGGUGGAUUAUAAAUGUUUGGAAUUGCAUCUUAUGUAACUGCUGCUGGAUAAGCAUACGUAUGAGUAAGUGUGAACUGGGAAAGGAAAAUGUGAUACUGGGAACUGUAACCACAAGUAUUAUCACUUCCCAUAUGUAACAAACUUAUGCCUAGGGCAAGGAAGCACAAUUACUGACAGAAGCUGUGUUUGCUCAUGCAGGUGAUUUUAUUGUUCUAAGUGAUCUAUCACUCUGGCUAACAUUUUUUGAUGAAAGACUUUUCUGGAAUGAUUGUACUUCAAAAGAAAUUUGGAGUUGUUUACCUUCAAUAGAUGACCAGGUCUGCCUAUUGAAAAUGUUAGAUUUAUAAAGUACUUUCAUGUGGGUUUUAAAUUGGUGGAAGACAAAGGUUUGCUUCCCCAUGUUAGUCACAUUAUCUGUUUCAGUCUCUCACUUCCUCAGUCUCAGAAAUCUACAACUACACAUUUGAGAAACUUAUCAGAUACUUAACUAUUUAAUGUACUUCCAAAUUGUAUUGUUUUACUUUAUCUGUUAUCAAAAGCAUAUGCUGUAUUCUCUGAAUUUAUAUUUGGUGCUAAUGAUACACUGAUGAUUACUGAAAACAGAAAAACUGUCCUCACUUCCUUUACAAAAGGCAAAAAGAUGUUACAUUUUCAAACUGUUAAAUCUAGCUUUUAAGUUCUGAUUCCAGGAAGUGUGCAGCACCUGAAUUGCCAACAUCUUGUUCAUUGUGCUCCUGGGUCACUGAUGGUAAAGUUCUUACUUUUUAUGCAUUUAUAAUACUGUGAAAAGAGAUAGUUAUAAGUCCAGGUCUCUUCCUUCUCAGAAGAAUCUGAGUGUAAAACAGAGUUAUCCACUGUGUUACUUUGGCCUGACACUAGAAUUACUUGUAUUAAAGACAAAUCAAACCUAAUACCCAGUCAACCCCUGUUCAAAGUGCAGUGAUGAAGCUGAGCCAGAAGAGACUAAGUGCAAACCGAGCUUUUCAGCACUGUACAGGGCCAGUAUAAAAGCUAGUUAAAAACUACUUCACAAACUACUAAGAUCUCCCAGUAUCAAACAAAUUGCUACUCACUUCUGCAAAGCACAGCUGAUGGAAGAAAUAUAAAUCACGUUUUUUAAAAAAUCUGUCCAAAAUAAAAUUUCCCUUCUGUGAGUACUUAGCUUAUUGUGCUAAGCCUCAGGGUGAAGUGUGGGUCUCCCACCUCCCAUGGUGGUGGCUCUUUGGUCAGUCCAGGGACAGCAGAAGCAUCAUCUUCCUUUGUGAGGUUUUUUCCCUUGUAUUAAUUGCAUGAUCUGCUUCAUAAAUCAGCUUACAUUUAAAUGGAACAGCUUAAAAGUAAUUGUGCAGCUGAGCAACCGAUGAAUUAUUGUGCCUUAUGGCUACUGUGGCUGUGUGGGUAAGGACCAAAAAGACAAAAAUUGGUCUCUUUAACCUACAAUGUCCCUUAACUCUCCUCCAAUGAGUUUCCUGUCACUUUAAUUUAAGAAGUAUUUUGAUCACCUUAUGAAAGCAAUUCUGUGAUGCAUUUGUCUCCAGUUCCCCAGAAACAAUUGCCCAGUCCUGUGUUCCUAAAUUUCCUUCUGUAUGUUGCCUUUCCUUUUUCCAUUUUUGAUAGCUGUAUUAGAUGUUGUUAGGGAUGGUGCUGUGCAUAGAUCUCUUAAGAGGAUAGAUGAAAUAAGCAACAUUUGGAGUGCCAUUGAGACCACCUUGGUAAUUUCUUUUUGUUUGCAAAGCAGAUGUCUCUUUUGUGCACUCAAAUUCUUCACUGUCACCCAUUAUCAUUGUCAUUUUAGCAUAACUAUUUUUUAAUUCUCCAAGCCUUUUCAUAGGACAUUUUAAAAUUAGUCUUUGUAGGAUAAAUUUUGCUUUACAUUACAACUCAAAAUACCAGAAUCUUAAAAAUAAUCUUGUAAUAAGCAUUUUUGCUUAUUCUGCUUUAAUAGUUAAUGUAAUUAAGUUCCUUUCAGGCUGGUGCUUGGACUGCAAAUUGAGAGUUUUAUUUCCCUUUUGGAAUCAGGUACCCUUUGAAAUGUUCAUGCUGAAGUUCAACAAACUGUGUUGUCACUAUACUUCUUUCAGCAGAAUUUUAAAAAUUUUAAAAAUUUAAUUUUUAUUGUUAUUAAAUUAAAAUUUUUUAAAAACUGCCAUGAGUUCUGACUGGAAGGAAAAGUGUAUGUAUGUAUGUAUCAACUUUCAGUGGAAAGGAAAAUCAGAAGACAGGAUUUUGUUAUUAUAACUUUACCUAGGAGGAGAAGAUGUCUGUGUGGAUAUUUGAGAAGCUUAUAUUUUUCUCAGAAAGCUUGAAAGUGGUGAUUUUUGCAAGAUUUCAGAUUGAUUAGGGGAUGCUGGUUUUUUUCCUCCACCUUACUCCUACCCAAAUUCAUAAAUGAAUGAUAAAAAAAUUUUUAAAAUCAGACUUCACUAUGUAUUAAGUUAAAAGUGGGGGAAAAGAGCAACAAAAAUCAGAUCCAGAGUAAUCUCAGAAGCUGGACACAAUUCUGCUGAGUGUCUAUAAAUUAAAGCCCAAGAUUGAAAUUCUGACUCUUUAAACAAUUCCUUUAACCAUGGCCAUGACUAAGGCUUCCUAGCCUUAAUAUCUUACUAUAAAAGUGGUGCUGUAGUUUUCUUGAGAGAUUUGUGUAAAAGCCUGCUGCAGUGAGGCUAGGUACCAGGGAAACAGCUUUUUGGGAGGGGCAGAGAGGAGUGCUCCUACUUUUUGUCUGCAAUAAUUCUGAGCUAAAAGAGGAAGAAAGCAUUACAAAUUUUGUUUAAACUUUUUUAUUCAAAAAUUGUGUUUAACAUGGAAUGAGGAAUUAUAGUUUAGCAGUCUAUCUGAAGUUGUAUGAUUUUGUGUAUACAUGUGUAUAUAUAAUGUACAUGCCUACAGAUUGUGUAUGUAUAUGAAUUUGUUGUGUGCAUGGAAUAUCAUGCUCAGUGGAUCAUUGUGAGCUGUCUUGACUGGUGCAUCUCAGAUCAUGUGUUGAAAGAGAUGUGCAUCCCCAUGAAGAAAGAGCUCCCUGUGGGUACCAGUCUGCUGCAUCAUCACAUCCAGAUGGGAUCCGGCCCAUGCAGUUGUCCUUCCUACUCAAUGCAAGUUUGAUGUAACAGAGGGACCACACAACUUCUCUGAGCUGUGCUGUCAGGUUCAGGGCUUCUGUAGCCCAGGGCUCCAGCUGGCCUUGGCCCUUGGCUGGUUUUGUGCAGCUCUGUUGCCUGACCUUGGUUCACUGUCAUUGAGGAAGCCGUCGCUGAGUUCUGAGAAUCUGUAAACUGAAACCAUGCAAGACAAAAAAAAAUAAAAACAAGCAGAACUGAACAUGCUGAGCUGGGAACGUUGUCUCGGGGAUUGGGGAAGAAUACUGACACAGAAUCUAAAAGUCUAAGGAAGAAAGCAAAGACUUAGAAGAUGGCACCUCUGCAGCUGUGAGAACUUGUACUGAUUUACUGGGAUAUUUUGACAUGAAUGAAAGACAUUUCUUAUUAAAGUGUGCUAUGCCAAUAAAAAGCAACAGAAACCAUA
This is an RNA transcript of Parus major (Great Tit), 17096 nucleotides long. It is a transcript of the gene named threonine synthase like 1, with no coding region annotated. The transcript has 2 exons. NCBI's taxonomy places the organism in Eukaryota, Metazoa, Chordata, Aves, Passeriformes, Paridae. The record is from RefSeq and is a predicted model, not a curated record.